AUUGAACGCUGGCGGCAGGCCUAACACAUGCAAGUCGAGCGAGCGUCGGACGGGUGAGUAUUGCAUGGGGUACGCCCGCUUGAUGGGGAUAACUACUGGAAACGGCGGCUACUACCGCAUACUGUCGGAUAACCCAUAUGUGAUUAGCUAGUGGGUAAGGUAAUUGCUUACUUAGGCGAAGAUACCUAGCUGGUCUGAGAGGAUGAGCAGCCACACUGGGACUGGAAAACGGCCCAGACUCCUACGGAGGCAGCAGUGGGGAAUAUUGCACAAUGGGCGCAAGCCUGAUGCAGCCAUGCCUCGUGUAUGAAGAAGGCCCUAGGGUUGUAAAGUACGUUCAGUCGGGAGGCGUUACCGACAGAAGAAGCACCGGCUAACUCCGUGCCAGCCGCCGCGGUAAUAC
This 403-nucleotide ribosomal RNA is filed under the name uncultured bacterium. RNAcentral's name for it is "partial 16S ribosomal RNA". It matches the Rfam family "Bacterial small subunit ribosomal RNA", at positions 30 to 526 of the family's 1533-position model. The record is from RNAcentral.